Molecule: ribosomal RNA, 301 nt
Filed under: uncultured bacterium
Lineage: Bacteria
Description: partial 16S ribosomal RNA
Rfam family: Bacterial small subunit ribosomal RNA
Source: RNAcentral
CAGCAGCCACGGUAAUACGAAGGGUGCAAGCGUUACUCGGAAUUACUGGGCGUAAAGCGUGUGUAGGUGGUUGUUUAAGUCUGUCGUGAAAGCCCUGGGCUCAACCUGGGAAUUGCGAUGGAUACUGGGCGACUAGAGUGCGGUAGAGGAUAGUGGAAUUUCCGAUGUAGCAGUGAAAUGCGUAGAGAUCGGAAGGAACAUCUGUGGCGAAGGCGACUAUCUGGGCCAACACUGACACUGAGACACGAAAGCGUGGGGAGCAAACAGGAUUAGAUACCCGUGUAGUCCCUGUCUCUUAUAC